Molecule: ribosomal RNA, 766 nt
Filed under: Sirococcus tsugae
Lineage: Eukaryota; Fungi; Ascomycota; Sordariomycetes; Diaporthales
Description: eukaryotic LSU rRNA
Rfam family: Eukaryotic large subunit ribosomal RNA
Source: RNAcentral
CUUCGGUCCGAGUUGUAAUUUGCAGAGGAUGUUUAUGGUGCGGUACCUUCCGAGUUCCCUGGAACGGGACGCCACAGAGGGUGAGAGCCCCGUCUGGUUGGAUACCAAACCUGUGUUAAACUCCUUCAACGAGUCGAGUAGUUUGGGAAUGCUGCUCUAAAUGGGAGGUAAAUCUCUUCUAAAGCUAAAUACCGGCCAGAGACCGAUAGCGCACAAGUAGAGUGAUCGAAAGAUGAAAAGCACCUUGAAAAGGGGGUUAAACAGUACGUGAAAUUGUUAAAAGGGAAGCGUUUAUGACCAGACUUGUGUCGUGUGGCUCAUCCGAGGUUCUCCCCGGUGCACUCCACACGGCUCAGGCCAACAUCGGUUCUCGUUGGGGGAUAAGAACAGUAGGAACGUGGCCCCUCUCGGGGGGUGUUAUAGCCUAUUGUACGAUACCCUGAUGGGGACCGAGGACCGCGCUUCGGCUAGGAUGUUGGCGUAAUGGUCAUUAGCGACCCGUCUUGAAACACGGACCAAGGAGUCGUCCAUUAGAGCGAGCGUUUGGGUGUUAAACCCGCACGCGUAAUGAAAGUGAAAUUAGGUGAGAGCUUCGGCGCAUCAUCGACCGAUCCUGAAGUUUACGGAUGGAUUUGAGUAAGAGUUUUAACGGACGGACCCGAAAGACAGUGAACUAUGCUUGAAUAGGGUGAAGCCAGAGGAAACUCUGGUGGAGGCUCGCAGCGGUUCUGACGUGCAAAUCGAUCGUCAAAUUUGAGCAUGGGGG